This 1100-nucleotide ribosomal RNA is filed under the name uncultured bacterium. RNAcentral describes it as "bacterial SSU rRNA". It matches the Rfam family "Bacterial small subunit ribosomal RNA", at positions 416 to 1504 of the family's 1533-position model. The record is from RNAcentral.
UUUCGGGUUAAAAAACCCUUUCCAGGUGAGAAAGAAUUUCUUCAAGUACUAAUAAUGGUGAAGUCUGGCGGGUCCCACCAGAGGAAGGCACCGGCCAACUCCGGUCCCAGCAGCCGCGGUAAUACGGAGGGUCCAAGCGUUGUUCGGAAUUAUUGGGCGUAAAGAGCGUGUAGGCGGCUUGGUAAGUCAGAUGUGAAAGCCCUGGGCUCAACCCAGGAAGUGCAUUUGAAACUACCAGACUUGAGUACGGGAGAGGAGGGGGGAAUUCCCGGUGUAGAGGUGAAAUUCGUAGAUAUCGGGAGGAAUACCGGUGGCGAAGGCGCCCCUCUGGACCGAUACUGACGCUGAGACGCGAAAGCGUGGGGAGCAAACAGGAUUAGAUACCCUGGUAGUCCACGCCGUAAACGAUGUCGACCAGCCGUUGGGUGCCUAGCGCACUUUGUGGCGAAGUUAACGCGAUAAGUCGACCGCCUGGGGAGUACGGCCGCAAGGUUAAAACUCAAUGAAUUGACGGGGGCCCGCACAAGCGGUGGAGCAUGUGGUUUAAUUCGAUGCAACGCGAAGAACCUUACCUACUCUUGACAUCCUGCGAAUUUGGUAGAGAUACCUUAGUGCCUUCGGGAACGCAGAGACAGGUGCUGCAUGGCUGUCGUCAGCUCGUGUUGUGAAAUGUUGGGUUAAGUCCCGUAACGAGCGCAACCCUUGUCCUUAUUUGCCAGCGCGUAAUGGCGGGAACUCUAAGGAGACUGCCGGUGACAAACCGGAGGAAGGUGGGGACGACGUCAAGUCAUCAUGGCCCUUACGAGUAGGGCUACACACGUGCUACAAUGGUCGGUACAAAGGGUUGCCAACUCGCGAGAGUGAGCCAAUCCCGAAAAGCCGAUCUCAGUCCGGAUCGGAGUCUGCAACUCGACUCCGUGAAGUCGGAAUCGCUAGUAAUCGUGGAUCAGAAUGCCACGGUGAAUACGUUCCCGGGCCUUGUACACACCGCCCGUCACACCAUGGGAGUGGACUGCACCAGAAGUGGUUAGCCUAACGCAAGAGGGCGAUCACCACGGUGUGGUUCAUGACUGGGGUGAAGUCGUAACAAGGUAGCCGUA